Molecule: non-coding RNA, 556 nt
Organism: Chiloscyllium plagiosum (whitespotted bambooshark)
Lineage: Eukaryota; Metazoa; Chordata; Chondrichthyes; Orectolobiformes; Hemiscylliidae
Source: RefSeq, a predicted model, not a curated record
AAAUCUUUCAUGAAGGAAAACACAAGCACCUACAUAAUAAGUGUGAGACAGCUGGUGAGCAGAAAAGAUGGUAAACAGGAGGGAUCAGGAUAGGCUGUGAACGAGAGAGAACAGAUGCAGCCAGACCUGCUGAGUUUCUCCAGCACUCUCUCUAGUUUUGAAGCAGAAACUUAUGUUGAUUAUCUAUUUGAUGUUAGAGGUCAGUUUUGUGGGUAAGAGAUGCUACCAGUGAUUCAGCAGACCCUGAGGUGGCGGCCGCUGACGUGGAACCUUCGCCAGGCGGAUCUCGUAAGGGGGCUGUAGGUCUUGGAUGGCAGUCAUCAAGAGGGACCACAUGACAAAAAUGCCUUCUGCAAGGGCCCUGAGCAUAAUUCAGAUACUCGUCUUAUCUUGUUUCUUAUCACGCUCUCAAGGACAAAGACUGUGAAGAUUUAAGUUGUUAUUCUUUUCAUUCCCUUGUUGUGGACAUACUGUUCUUAUAUUUUUCUCUUGUUGAAUGUUUACAAAGUUCCGCAGAGACAAGUUGUCCCUCGACUGCAGACUUCAGCAAAGUUGC